This 364-nucleotide long non-coding RNA is filed under the name Calidris pugnax (ruff). RNAcentral describes it as "lncRNA (ENSCPUG00000018655.1)". Lineage: Eukaryota; Metazoa; Chordata; Aves; Charadriiformes; Scolopacidae. The record is from RNAcentral.
CCAAAUGGUACUUGAACUGCAGAGUAAUCUGUGGAAAGUUAGUCAUUUAGCCUUUUUCUUUUCUUUUCCAGAAUCUGAAGAGAGUUUACUGUGUAAUUGAUCCUAUCAAAGAUGACUUCAGUUCUGCAGCUGGCAUCUAACAGUUCAGUGACAACUUUUUUUUUUCUUCCUCUCCAGCUUUAUUCUCUUCAGAGCUAACACAGUAUUGGUUUCAUGUGACAUGGCUCACUUAAUAUGCAGUGGAGAAACAGAACUACAAAGAAUAGAAGAUAAGGUGAUGCAACAUACAGACACCUGUAGAUGCAUCAUAAAUGAGAAUGUAGAUACUUCUGUCUGUCUGGGGGUAUAUUUCCAAGAUUUAUGA